AUUGAACGCUGGCGGCAUGCCUUACACAUGCAAGUCGAACGGCAGCACGGGUGCUUGCACCUGGUGGCGAGUGGCGAACGGGUGAGUAAUACAUCGGAACAUGUCCUGUAGUGGGGGAUAGCCCGGCGAAAGCCGGAUUAAUACCGCAUACGAUCCACGGAUGAAAGCGGGGGCCCUUCGGGCCUCGCGCUAUAGGGUUGGCCGAUGGCUGAUUGGCUAGUUGGUGGGGUAAAGGCCUACCAAGGCGACAAUCAGUAGCUGGUCUGAGAGGACGACCAGCCACACUGGGACUGAGACACGGCCCAGACUCCUACGGGAGGCAGCAGUGGGGAAUUUUGGACAAUGGGCGAAAGCCUGAUCCAGCAAUGCCGCGUGUGUGAAGAAGGCCUUCGGGUUGUAAAGCACUUUUGUCCGGAAAGAAAUCCUUGACUCUAAUACAGCCGGGGGAUGACGGUACCGGAAGAAUAAGCACCGGCUAACUACGUG
RNAcentral lists this ribosomal RNA (486 nucleotides) under uncultured bacterium. Its description in RNAcentral is "partial 16S ribosomal RNA". It matches the Rfam family "Bacterial small subunit ribosomal RNA", at positions 30 to 507 of the family's 1533-position model. The record is from RNAcentral.